RNAcentral lists this transfer RNA (75 nucleotides) under Deltaproteobacteria bacterium. RNAcentral's name for it is "tRNA-Thr". It matches the Rfam family "tRNA". Rfam says of the family: Transfer RNA (tRNA) molecules are approximately 80 nucleotides in length. Their secondary structure includes four short double-helical elements and three loops (D, anti-codon, and T loops). The record is from RNAcentral. Lineage: Bacteria; Pseudomonadati; Myxococcota; Myxococcia.
GCCGACGUAGCUCAGUGGUAGAGCAGCUGAUUCGUAAUCAGCAGGCCGUAGGUUCAAAUCCCAUCGUCGGCUCCA